AGAAGAGGGUUCUCAGUUACAAGCGUGACCCUUAAAAGCGUCCUGUACCCGCUGUCUGGCAGAUGUGGAAAACAGACACACCCUAGGGUACCUGGGGCACCCUAACAAGCACUCGGCUCUCGAGACCCCACACUCCAAAGCAUCUGGAGGGCAACACAUGCUCCAUGCACAACCCUGGUGGUCGCAGCUCUCGGCACGUCCGUCGCCUGCCCGGGGAUGAGGCCUUUCAAUCUGGAGCAGCGGAGAGCGGAAAAGGGGUGGCUGAGAAAUGUCCUUGAGUUCCUUCUUGUUAAUCUGGAAAUGACAUCAGUUUGUACCACCUUCCUUCCUCAGAACCCUUGGUUUAAACAAAUUCUGAGUCUUAGUAUGGUUUUAACAUCAGGAUAUGAUUCAGAUAGAGUCCACCUUGGGACUAUUUGCUGGUAACUUUAGGUAAAAUAUGUUCCAAGAUGUAGUAAUUUCUGAAAUCUCAAAUAUCCUAGAAAAUUCAUGGUUACGUACAAGAAGAAUACCUUAACCUUACUCUGUCAUCAAGUGAAGAGUGGAGAAGGCAUAAUCUAAGAACCACCUUAAAAUCACUAAAGUGCUUUGGAGUCAUUAUAUGGUCUUUGUAUGGAGCCAUAACUGUACAAUAUUAGGAUUUCUGCUGUGAGUGAUGAGAAGGAAGGUUGUUAGUCUGCCCACAGCCCAGCUAAACCUAAUGCUCCAGGUGUGUUUUAGCUGCCUGUGCAGCUAUAGAAAUCUGACAGGACGAAACACUCUGCUUAAUUUAAUCACUCUAAACUAUGAAUUACUCUACUGAAUUUAGUUUGCCGUGGCUCGGCAGGCUCCAGGGUCAGUUUUACGGUGGAGGAGGUGCCCUUAAAUAGAAGACCCGAGUCGUGUCAGUGAAAUGGCAUUCUUGGCAACACGCUUCUCUCGAGAGCUUUUGUUGCAAGGUCACACAAAACCACUCCGGCUGUGAGCCGGCAAGGACGAGCAAAGCAAAGCAGAAGGACUCGCUGCUGCUACCUGCCCCGCUGCGGAGGGGCCUAAAAGCAAGAAACAAAGCUGCAGCAGGUUUUCACUGUCGCAAGAGUUUGUUCUUCCAAAAAACAUCUUGCCCUUGCCCCAAGCUGCAUUCCUGGUGUGGGAAGUGAAACAAAGCUGAUCUUAAUUAAGCAGAAUGGCCUGACUAUCUCUUUGGGCAAGAAAGGAAGCCAAUUUUGAGGAGAAAGAUCAAAUCUGCUUGUACCGCCUGGAGGGCUUCGGAGAGGAGGCUGGUUAUAAAAGCCGACGAGCUAAGAAAGGAUUCCCUUUUAUGGACACAACCUGAGCAUACGCUGGAGGCAGCAGCAGCAAGAAGCGCUGCGCGGAGGGGCUUCCUGGCCGUACUCGGGCUGCGAUGGACUUCGUGCCUCAUCAGUGCUGCUCCAAGAAGGAAUCCAGCCAAUACGAUGCUCCCCUGCCAGCCGGGAUAUCAAUGUUUGUGCUGGGAAAAGGGCCUGAAGAUCCCAUGUGAUUUCCAGUCGGAGGAGCGACACCAACCCAGAGGAUCCCUGCCUGCACCAGCGCAGGGAGACCCACCCCUGGAAAUGCUGUAGCAGAGCGGGUGACCUGCGCUGGGGACAGCCAGUCCCAGCGUUAGUGGUGCCUGCUGUUCAAAUAACGUCAAAUUGCUUCAUUAGGGAAUGAUCUUUAUCAGCGUCUUUCGCUGUUGCCAACAGCGGAGGCUCUGACCCUCACCGCUGGGGCACGGAGAGGGCUACAACGCCCCGCAGUCGCCUGCAGGGAGGACAACAACGCUCUGCUCCGUGGAGCCUUCUGUGGGAGGCGCAGCUCCGCGUGGCUCGCGCUCUCGGGGGUAUGCGGUGAGCGGCGGCCGUGCCGCCGGCUGCGGCUCGCUGAGCCCUUGCAGAGGGCGGGCUGCUCCCAGGCAGGCGCGGAGGAGCCCGUGCCCCACGGAGGUGCCGCCGAGGCUCGCCGGUAAACCUUGCCCUGGCGGGGUGUCGACAGGGACUCCGGAUCUUUGUUGCGGCAUGCAGUGACAUGGAAAACCGUGCUGUUAGCAACGCUGGUUGUUAGAGAAACAGCCAGGCAGUGGUAGGCCCUUGAAAUACCUGCUUGCUGUUUAGGCUUGUCCUUCCCGGCAGUCACGUGGACGCUGAGAGCAGUUACAGGUAAUACUGUAGGGUUGCAUAGAAAACAAUGUGAAAAGUGUUUCCCCACAGCGAGCGAGCUUCCUGCCAAAGGCAAACUUUAAGCAAAACUUAACACUUCCAACCCCUCCUUCUGGCUUGGUGAAAAGAGGAUAAAGGACAGAUGCCAGCGAUCUUGUCUUAGAAAAACAGCCGGUCUUUGUGAAACCAUCAAAUAUGGUGUUUGUAGCCUGAACGCUGUUUAAUUUGCAUAGGUAUUCAUAAACCGUGCCUGCCACUUAUGUGCCGUGCCCUGUACCUUAUGCUGCUGGUUGAAGUUGCUCCUAUAUCCCUCUUGAGUUGUAAUAUGUUCGGAUAUAUCCUGUUGUCAAACAUUAACUUUGCAAGUGCCUUGGAAAA
Long non-coding RNA from Rhea pennata, 2537 nucleotides. RefSeq lists it as uncharacterized. The record is from RefSeq and is a predicted model, not a curated record. The transcript has 3 exons. NCBI's taxonomy places the organism in Eukaryota, Metazoa, Chordata, Aves, Rheiformes, Rheidae.